This 269-nucleotide ribosomal RNA is filed under the name uncultured bacterium. RNAcentral's name for it is "partial 16S ribosomal RNA". It matches the Rfam family "Bacterial small subunit ribosomal RNA", at positions 1 to 267 of the family's 1533-position model. The record is from RNAcentral.
GCCCUUCCGAAUUCGUCGACAACAGAGUUUGAUCCUGGCUCAGAACGAACGCUGGCGGCAGGCUUAACACAUGCAAGUCGAGCGAGGCGAAGAAACUUAGGUUUCGGAGCUUAGCGGCGGACGGGUGAGUAACACGUGGGAACGUGCCCUUCAGUACGGAAUAGCCUGGGGAAACCCGGAGUAAUACCGUAUGCGCCCUCAGGGGGAAAGAUUUAUCGCUGAAAGGAUCNGCCCGCGCCUGAUNANGUAGUUGGUANGGUAACNGCCUA